Molecule: long non-coding RNA, 273 nt
Filed under: Elaeis guineensis (African oil palm)
Lineage: Eukaryota; Viridiplantae; Streptophyta; Magnoliopsida; Arecales; Arecaceae
Description: long non-coding RNA (EGUI_LNC051125)
Source: RNAcentral
UCGUGCGAUGCAUGGAGAGGUCUUCACGUAGUCUAUGGGGCCUAAUGCAUGGUCUACGCACAUUGUUACGUGGUGCAUAGGUGAUGGAGUGGGUGCAUGCAGGCAUGGUUGGCGAGUGGGUGUGGGUGUGGGUGUGGUUGACAUGCAAGUGGGUGUGCUGGCUUCAUGUGACUGUGGUUCAAAAUGCUUGGGAUGUGACAUAGUUUUAAAAAAGAAAACAGAGAAGGAGGUGCAGAGAAUUUUGUGCGGCUAGGGUUUUAGGGUGCUAUAACC